ACUCACAAGUUCUUGGUGAAAUUCACUGGAGGAACUUCUGUGAAUGAUGACAACAAACACGACAUACCCCCCAUACAACGCAACUUCACCAGUUUCUCUGAUAUUAUGACCGACAACUUUAAGAAGGAUGUCCUGAUCGUGGUGGAAAAAAAUUGCAAGUCAAUUUUGUACUCAGGGAUGCAGCCAACAACACAAUGAACUACACCCUCUGGGAGGACUAUGCCAAACAGUUUUUCAAGUUUAGCAAGGAAAAUUCGUCAACAUCUGGACCAACUGUUG
Vicia villosa (hairy vetch) is the source of this 279-nucleotide long non-coding RNA. RefSeq lists it as uncharacterized. The record is from RefSeq and is a predicted model, not a curated record. NCBI's taxonomy places the organism in Eukaryota, Viridiplantae, Streptophyta, Magnoliopsida, Fabales, Fabaceae. The transcript has 3 exons.